CCGACAUCGAGGCCUUUGACGUAGAAGGGGGUGCCUUUCAAGUCCAAGACUCAUACCAUUCUCUUCUUUGGGUAAGCAGUGAUCUUCCAUCGAGCUUUCUUCCAGUUCUUCCUCAGUAUGACAUUUCAUUAUUUUACUCUCCUUUCUUCUUUUUUUAGCUCAUCCAUCACAUGGAUCAUUUUAUUAAGAUGGUCUAAGAAGCUCGAUGGAUUUCUUGGGAGGCCGAGGAAAAGGCCAGCCAGGCCAACAGAAGGGCGGACAACGCCC
Molecule: long non-coding RNA, 267 nt
Filed under: Elaeis guineensis (African oil palm)
Lineage: Eukaryota; Viridiplantae; Streptophyta; Magnoliopsida; Arecales; Arecaceae
Description: long non-coding RNA (EGUI_LNC002710)
Source: RNAcentral